This 406-nucleotide ribosomal RNA is filed under the name uncultured bacterium. RNAcentral's name for it is "partial 16S ribosomal RNA". It matches the Rfam family "Bacterial small subunit ribosomal RNA", at positions 30 to 526 of the family's 1533-position model. The record is from RNAcentral.
AUUGAACGCUAGCGGGAUGCUUUACACAUGCAAGUCGAACGAGUGGCGGACGGGUGAGUAAUGUAUCGGAACGUGCCCGAUAGCGGGGGAUAACUACUGGAAAGAGUAGCUAAUACCGCAUACUAUCGGAUGUGCCCAGAUGGGAUUAGCUAGUUGGUGGGGUAAAGGCUCACCAAGGCAACGAUCCUUAGCGGGUCUGAGAGGAUGACCAGCCACACUGUAACUGAGACACGGUCCAGACUCCUACGUGAGGCAGCAGUGGGGAAUUUUGGACAAUGGGGGCAACCCUGAUCCAGCCAUGCCGCGUGUAUGAUGAAGGCCUUCGGGUUGUAAAGUACUUUCGGCGGGGAAGCGGUACCUGCAGAAGAAGCACCGGCUAACUACGUGCCAGCAGCCGCGGUAAUAC